UGCCGACACAGGAGCCAAAUGAGACAGCAGCUGUUUCCGGAGCUGAAGAGGAUUUGUUUGUGCUUAAGGGAGACUCUGUUCAUCUGGAUGUGAAGAGACAUGAAGAACUACAGUUUGACAGCAUAUUAUGGAGAUUUAAUAUCUCUUCUAAAAUAGUGCAAUACACUCAGAAUAUAAAAUAUAUGAAAAAAUAUAAAAACAGUAUUAUGUCAGAAUUUGAUGAGACAAGCUUCUCUCUGCUACUGAAGAAUGUGCAGCAGAAUUACAGUGGGAUCUACAGAGCAACGAUAGUAGAUGAUGAAGGACAGGAGAAACAUGUUGCUACCUACAGGCUCACAGUUCAAGAGGCCCCGCCCAUACCCCAGGUGGUAGUGGCGUUACUCUCCUCUGAUGGAGGGGUCUGUAAGGUGUUGGUGAACUGCUCUGCUGAAGACACCUGGGCCAGCUACACCUGUGACCACGCCCACUGCACACAGGUAGAGAAUACAACCUCGCUGACGGGACUCAACCUCAUCGUCACGGCAACCAACAGGAACAUCCACUGCAGCAGCAGUAACCGGGUCGCCACAAAGACGCAAUCAUA
Long non-coding RNA from Conger conger (European conger), 583 nucleotides. RefSeq lists it as uncharacterized. Lineage: Eukaryota; Metazoa; Chordata; Actinopteri; Anguilliformes; Congridae. The record is from RefSeq and is a predicted model, not a curated record. The transcript has 3 exons.